This 185-nucleotide small RNA is filed under the name Liquorilactobacillus ghanensis DSM 18630. Its description in RNAcentral is "Lactobacillus ghanensis DSM 18630 Listeria sRNA rli28". It matches the Rfam family "Listeria sRNA rli28". Lineage: Bacteria; Bacillati; Bacillota; Bacilli; Lactobacillales; Lactobacillaceae. The record is from Rfam by way of RNAcentral.
GUUUUUCCUGUAUAAUAGGACAAGCAGGAAGUUUUAAGGGCGGUGGCUGUCUUUUCCCUUGUGAGGUGAUGUCUAUGGGAACAUGGAGUAAUCUUCAGAAAGGUUUCACAGUCAAUGAGUGUCUUUCAGGCACUCUCGUUGAUGUUGCUGUUUGGCACAUUUUUAAUUGCGCUACUCAGCUAUAU